CAUUUCCAGCUCCAAAUGCCAAAGAGAAAGAAAGGAACAGAGAAGAAAAAAAUAGCGAAAGCUGGGACUAUCACCUAUUUAGCAGUCCCCAAACUGGCCGGAAAAUAGAAGGGGGGAAAGUGGGACACGCGCUUCCAAGGAGGAAAAGGAAAGAAGACAGCAUCCACAUCCUUCCUCUCCAGCUUCUCCCUAGAGUUCUUCGGGCGAAUUGGAGAGGCGGGCGCUGCGCUGGGGAAAGUUUGUCCCACCCGCAUUUCGCAGCUGGCUGCGAGGAAACGAGGAGGAGCGGGAAGGUAGAGCUCGGAGCCUGCGGCCGCAAGGAUAGCCAGCACCGCGCUUACCUCGCAGUCCUCGUACUUGAUAUUAUCCGUCAGUUUCCAAAGCAUUUUCAUGGAUCGGCGUGAACGGAUUUGCCCCCUUCUCCGCCUCGUACCCAAGUGGAGCUACUCUCUGGCUCUUUACCAACAGCCUAAUCGCCUCAUUAGCAUAUCAACAAUAGUCCAAUUGCUCGCCAGCACCGCAAUCUGCGGCCGGCCGCUCCGACCCAGGUAUAAAGGUCUCUCGGAGCGGCGAAUUUGCUCCUAGAGCGCACGCCUGCCCGUGAGCCCAGGGAAUCUCCCCUGAGACCAGCCGCGCGCCCCGGUCCCCGCCGCCGCGCCAUUCUGCCCCUCUCCUCUUCCUCUCCGUCUCCUUCUCGAGGGAGAUGCCCUCCGCAAAAACCCGGCACCGUGCAGGGUCCAAGAGGCUGCGCCUGGGGCUCGUCUUUCACCACCUCUCCCUCACCCCUGCCUGCGCUAACCGCGCUGUCCUUUCGGCCCCGUCCAAUUUUAUUAGAAAUUAUUAUCCCUUUCGCAAUUAAAUAUAAUCAUCAAACCAAGACCGGCAAAGUCACUCCAGGAUUUCUGCCCAACAAGAGAUCGCCUCCGCUCGCGGCAGCCACCAUCUCGGGCCGCAGCGCCUUGGGAGUUUUAUUGGCUUUGCGCUUACCCCCCCAUCCCCCCCCACCCCACCCCCAGGUUGAGAAUUUUGCCAAACAGCUCCAGUCGCUCGGCUGGGGUUUGCGAUCCUUUAAUUGCUGCGUGUAAAAUAAAAAUUGUACCCCGAAGAGGUUAGUUGACAGCUCCAGGGGUUAAGUGAUUUUCCUCUCAUUUGUAUGAAGCUAGGGCUGACUGAUAAUUCAACGUGGUGUUGGGGCUAAGGGUUUCGUAGGUGCGAUGUGGACAAAAUACAGAACUCCUACGGAGACUCACAGUCGCUCCUGGAGUUGUACGGAAAUACCGACAUGUGUGCUUCGUGUCAUGCAUGCAUCAAAAUAAAUCGCUAGGAACCAACUCUUCGCUGUGCUAAUCUGCUCCAGUUUUCCCAAGAUCCCCCUUUUUAAUUAAAGCAGGGAGAGUUCCUUCAUGAUUUGGUGAUGUUACUAAAGCGGGCGCGCUUGCGGCGCAGUGCCCGGCUGACGCGGAACCCGAGGCCCCGGGGCCACCCCCUGGUCCAGGUUGGCCAGUCCAGGCUUUCCCGGCUCCACACAGGGACUGGCUCGCCCCAGCGGGGCUUUAUAGAUGUUUUCCUUCUGUUUUGGCGAAUUGUUUUAAAGAAGAAAUUAAAAAGAAAGACG
Mustela erminea (ermine) is the source of this 1615-nucleotide long non-coding RNA. RefSeq lists it as uncharacterized. The record is from RefSeq and is a predicted model, not a curated record. The transcript has 3 exons. Lineage: Eukaryota; Metazoa; Chordata; Mammalia; Carnivora; Mustelidae.